This 1129-nucleotide ribosomal RNA is filed under the name Triticum aestivum (bread wheat). Its description in RNAcentral is "partial small subunit ribosomal RNA". The record is from RNAcentral. Lineage: Eukaryota; Viridiplantae; Streptophyta; Magnoliopsida; Poales; Poaceae.
CAGGUCAUUUAUUUGGACGGCAAAGAAGGGAGUAGAGGGUUUUUACCUGUAGAAGUCGGUACCGUUUCUAACUAGGUCUUUAGGCGGCCCCACGCUGCGGCUCAGUGGCGAUCAAGGUUAGGGUGGGCGCCGCGGCUGACGGGAGGGAGAGGGGUGAGCGGCAAGGGGGUUUUACUUUGGGAGCUAGGUUGGUGACCAGUAUGUAAAACAAGGGUCAGGAAGUUAAAGAGUCGCUGUUUAGAAUGUUUCGUUGGUGAUACCCUAUGUAGUCUAGACGUUACUCAACUACAUACACACCACAUGUCUACCCACCAUCUCCUCAGUAGUUCCUCUGAUAAACUAGACUUAGCCAUGUGGACACAAUCGAAUAAAACAAACAAAAACGGACUCGAUUUAACAAACUUAAACAUCCUACAUUGGACAUUAUACACCAGCGAUAUUAUGGACAUCUCGUCUGGUGUAAGCAAUGGUAAAUCCGUAUAUUACACCCUUAGUUCUUGGUUGGCGAGGUACGAAUUACUGUCGUGUGUCGAUAACUGUCUUAACUAGAACCCUAUAAUGCUUUUAUUAUUAGUUUAGAUCGGGAACGAACCAGCCGAUAUGCUGGACUUAGUAGUAAUUACUUUAGUAGGUUCAUAUAAAUGUAUCCUUUUGCUGUUAGAACGGUAAAGCACGAGUUAGUACGGGUUCCUUCUCUACAACUACCUAGAAAAUAAACCAUAACUGUCUACGUGUAAGUUAAUAUAAUACGAGUACAGUCUCGAUACUCUGUCUAAUCCCGUACUCAGCACUCUAGGUUUGACACUUAUGAAUCAUUUGACUUCCAUGUCUAAGUACUAAGUAGAUCAAAAAAUUAUGAUUAAUACGUUACGUAUCUGGUGUCUAAAAAAAUCACGAUCUAGUUUAACCGUUUGUAUCAGUACACACAGGCGUCUUUAUGGACUAAGCAGACUUUAGGUAUACUAAAGGAAAACUUCUUCCAAUGUAUCUCAUUUUAUCUUUAUAAGAUUCCAGGGAAAUGAUUUCCUAGAGGAACAUGUGUUAUAAAAAACGGCUUAAUAAAAGGAACUAAGAAGUAGACUUUAAUCUUGAAAUCCAGGUAGAGAUGAACACUGAGAACUAUGACGAU